GCCGGUCAUGGUGGCACUCACAUGUAGUCCUAGCUACUCAGGAGGCUGAGGCUGGAGGAUUGCUUGAGCCCAGGAGUUCUGGGCUGCUGUGUGCUAUGCCGAUUUGGUGUCCACACUAAGUUCGGCAUCAAUAUGGUGACCCUCUGGGAACGGGGGACCACCAGAUUGCCUAAGGAGGGGUGAACCGACCCAGGUCAGAAAUGGAGCAGGUCAAAACUCCCAUGCCAAUCAGUAGUGGGAUUGCACCUGUGAAUAGCCGUUGUACUCCAGCCUGGGCAAGAUAGUGAGGGCCCUGUU
Molecule: unclassified non-coding RNA, 297 nt
Organism: Monodelphis domestica (gray short-tailed opossum)
Lineage: Eukaryota; Metazoa; Chordata; Mammalia; Didelphimorphia; Didelphidae
Rfam family: Metazoan signal recognition particle RNA
About the family: The signal recognition particle (SRP) is a universally conserved ribonucleoprotein. It is involved in the co-translational targeting of proteins to membranes.
Source: Ensembl